RNAcentral lists this ribosomal RNA (253 nucleotides) under uncultured bacterium. Its description in RNAcentral is "partial 16S ribosomal RNA". It matches the Rfam family "Bacterial small subunit ribosomal RNA", at positions 524 to 776 of the family's 1533-position model. The record is from RNAcentral.
CACGGGGGGAGCAAGCGUUGUUCGGAUUCAUUGGGCGUAAAGGGCUCGUAGGUGGCUUUGUAAGUCGGAGGUGAAAUCCCACGGCUCAACCGUGGACACGCCUUCGAAACUGUGAAGCUUGAGGCUGGGAGAGGAGAUCGGAAUUCCUGGUGUAGCGGUGAAAUGCGUAGAUAUCAGGAGGAACACCGAUGGCGAAGGCAGGUCUCUGGGCAUUAACUGACGCUGAGGAGCGAAAGCAUGGGGAGCGAACAGG